AUUGAACGCUGGCGGCAUGCUUAUCACAUGCAAGUCGAACGGAAACAGCAAGAGCUUGCUCUUGGCUGUCGAGUGGCGGACGGGUGAGUAACGCGUGGGAAUCUACUCAGUAGUGGGGGAUAGGCAGGAGAAAUCCUGAUUAAUACCGCAUACGUUCUACGGAUGAAAGGUGGCCACUCCUUGGAAGCUAUCGCUAUUGAAUGAGCCCGCGUCAGAUUAGCUAGUUGGUGGGGUAAAGGCCUACCAAGGCGACGAUCUAUAGCUGGUCUGAGAGGACGACCAGCCACAUCGGGACUGAGACACGGCCCGGACUCCUACGGGAGGCAGCAGUGGGGAAUAUUGGACAAUGGGCGCAAGCCUGAUCCAGCAAUGCCGCGUGUGUGAAGAAGGCCUGAGGGUUGUAAAGCACUCUCAAUUGUGAAGAAGAUAAUAAGUUUAAUACGCUUGUUGUUUGACGUUAACUUUAGAAGAAGCACCGGCUAACUCUGUGCCAGCAGCCGCGGUAAUACAGAGGGUGCAAGCGCUAAUCGGAAUUACUGGGCGUAAAGCGCGCGUAGGCGGCUACUUAAGUCAGAUGUGAAAUCCCCGGGCUCAACCUGGGAACUGCAUCUGAAACUGGGUAGCUAGAGUUUGGGAGAGGGAAGUAGAAUUUCAGGUGUAGCGGUGAAAUGCAUAGAGAUCUGAAGGAAUACCAGUGGCGAAGGCGACUUCCUGGCCUAAAACUGACGCUGAGGUGCGAAAGCGUGGGUAGCAAACGGGAUUAGAUACCCCGGUAGUCCACGCCGUAAACGAUGUCAACUAGUCGUUGGUCUCCUUGAGGGAUCAGUGACGCAGCUAACGCAUUAAGUUGACCGCCUGGGGAGUACGGUCGCAAGACUAAAACUCAAAGGAAUUGACGG
This 899-nucleotide ribosomal RNA is filed under the name uncultured Gammaproteobacteria bacterium. Its description in RNAcentral is "bacterial SSU rRNA". It matches the Rfam family "Bacterial small subunit ribosomal RNA", at positions 28 to 916 of the family's 1533-position model. The record is from RNAcentral. Lineage: Bacteria; Pseudomonadati; Pseudomonadota; Gammaproteobacteria.